CGAACAUGAAAUGGUAGACGAGGAGUUGCGAACGCCCCUUGAAGAGGUCGCGCAGCGAGGCCUCGCC
Molecule: small RNA, 67 nt
Filed under: Sinorhizobium meliloti 2011
Lineage: Bacteria; Pseudomonadati; Pseudomonadota; Alphaproteobacteria; Hyphomicrobiales; Rhizobiaceae
Description: putative ncRNA
Source: RNAcentral